This 253-nucleotide ribosomal RNA is filed under the name uncultured bacterium. Its description in RNAcentral is "partial 16S ribosomal RNA". It matches the Rfam family "Bacterial small subunit ribosomal RNA", at positions 524 to 776 of the family's 1533-position model. The record is from RNAcentral.
CACGUAGGGUGCGAGCGUUGUCCGGAAUUAUUGGGCGUAAAGAGCUCGUAGGUGGUUUGUCGCGUUGUCCGUGAAAACUCACAGCUCAACUGUGGGCGUGCGGGCGAUACGGGCAGGCUGGAGUACUGCAGGGGAGACUGGAAUUCCUGGUGUAGCGGUGGAAUGCGCAGAUAUCAGGAGGAACACCGGUGGCGAAGGCGGGUCUCUGGGCAGUAACUGACGCUGAGGAGCGAAAGCGUGGGGAGCGAACAGG